AUGAACGCUGGCGGCGUGCCUCAUACAUGCAAGUCGAGCGAACAGACGAGGAGCUUGCUCCUCUGACGUUAGCGGCGGGCGGGUGAGUAACACGUGGAUAACCUACCUAUAAGACUGGGAUAACUUCGGGAAACCGGAGCUAAUACCGGAUAAUAUAUUGAACCGCAUGGUUCAAUAGUGAAAGACGGUUUUGCUGUCACUUAUAGAUGGAUCCGCGCCGCAUUAGCUAGUUGGUAAGGUAACGGCUUACCAAGGCGACGAUGCGUAGCCGACCUGAGAGGGUGAUCGGCCACACUGGAACUGAGACACGGUCCAGACUCCUACGGGAGGCAGCAGUAGGGAAUCUUCCGCAAUGGGCGAAAGCCUGACGGAGCAACGCCGCGUGAGUGAUGAAGGUCUUCGGAUCGUAAAACUCUGUUAUUAGGGAAGAACAAAUGUGUAAGUAACUAUGCACGUCUUGACGGUACCUAAUCAGAAAGCCACGGCUAACUACGUG
This 496-nucleotide ribosomal RNA is filed under the name uncultured bacterium. RNAcentral's name for it is "partial 16S ribosomal RNA". It matches the Rfam family "Bacterial small subunit ribosomal RNA", at positions 29 to 507 of the family's 1533-position model. The record is from RNAcentral.